This 253-nucleotide ribosomal RNA is filed under the name uncultured bacterium. RNAcentral's name for it is "partial 16S ribosomal RNA". It matches the Rfam family "Archaeal small subunit ribosomal RNA", at positions 474 to 727 of the family's 1478-position model. The record is from RNAcentral.
UACCAGCACCCCGAGUGGUCGGGACGUUUAUUGGGCCUAAAGCAUCCGUAGCCGGUUCUGCAAGCCCCCCGUUAAAUCCAGCUGCUCAACAGAUGGGCCGCGGAGGAUACUACAGAGCUAGGAGGCAGGAGAGGCAAGCGGUACUCAGUGGGUAGGGGUAAAAUCCGUUGAUCCAUUGAAGACCACCAGUGGCGAAGGCGGCUUGCCAGAAUGCGCUCGACGGUGAGGGAUGAAAGCUGGGGGAGCAAACCGG